RNAcentral lists this ribosomal RNA (1277 nucleotides) under metagenome. Its description in RNAcentral is "bacterial SSU rRNA". It matches the Rfam family "Bacterial small subunit ribosomal RNA", at positions 119 to 1391 of the family's 1533-position model. The record is from RNAcentral.
CGGAACGUACCAUUCAGUGGGGGAUAACGUAGCGAAAGUUACGCUAAUACCGCAUAUUCUGUGAGCAGGAAAGCAGGGGAUCGCAAGACCUUGCGCUGAUUGAGCGGCCGAUAUCAGAUUAGCUUGUUGGUGAGGUAAAAGCUCACCAAGGCGACGAUCUGUAGCGGGUCUGAGAGGAUGAUCCGCCACACUGGAACUGAGAUACGGUCCAGACUCCUACGGGAGGCAGCAGUGGGGAAUUUUGGACAAUGGGGGCAACCCUGAUCCAGCCAUGCCGCGUGAGUGAAGAAGGCCUUCGGGUUGUAAAGCUCUUUCAGCCGGGAAGAAAACGCAUGGGUUAAUACCCUGUGUGGAUGACGGUACCGGAAUAAGAAGCACCGGCUAACUACGUGCCAGCAGCCGCGGUAAUACGUAGGGUGCGAGCGUUAAUCGGAAUUACUGGGCGUAAAGCGUGCGCAGGCGGUUUUGUAAGACAGGCGUGAAAUCCCCGGGCUUAACCUGGGAACUGCGUUUGUGACUGCAAGGCUAGAGUACGGCAGAGGGGGGUGGAAUUCCACGUGUAGCAGUGAAAUGCGUAGAGAUGUGGAGGAACACCAAUGGCGAAGGCAGCCCCCUGGGUCGAUACUGACGCUCAUGCACGAAAGCGUGGGUAGCAAACAGGAUUAGAUACCCUGGUAGUCCACGCCCUAAACGAUGUCAACUAGGUGUUGGGAGGGUAAAACCUUUUAGUACCGGAGCUAACGCGUGAAGUUGACCGCCUGGGGAGUACGGCCGCAAGGUUAAAACUCAAAGGAAUUGACGGGGACCCGCACAAGCGGUGGAUGAUGUGGAUUAAUUCGAUGCAACGCGAAAAACCUUACCUACCCUUGACAUGCCAAGAACUUUCCAGAGAUGGAUUGGUGCCCGAAAGGGAACUUGGACACAGGUGCUGCAUGGCUGUCGUCAGCUCGUGUCGUGAGAUGUUGGGUUAAGUCCCGCAACGAGCGCAACCCUUGUCGUUAAUUGCCAUCAUUUAGUUGGGCACUUUAACGAGACUGCCGGUGACAAACCGGAGGAAGGUGGGGAUGACGUCAAGUCCUCAUGGCCCUUAUGGGUAGGGCUUCACACGUCGUACAAUGGUCGGUACAAAGGGUCGCCAAGACGCGAGGUGGAGCCAAUCCCAGAAAGCCGAUCGUAGUCCGGAUCGCAGUCUGCAACUCGACUGCGUGAAGUCGGAAUCGCUAGUAAUCGUGGAUCAGAAUGUCACGGUGAAUACGUUCCCGGGUCUUGUACACACC